RNAcentral lists this ribosomal RNA (468 nucleotides) under uncultured bacterium. RNAcentral's name for it is "partial 16S ribosomal RNA". It matches the Rfam family "Bacterial small subunit ribosomal RNA", at positions 28 to 507 of the family's 1533-position model. The record is from RNAcentral.
GACGAACGCUGGCGGCGUGCUUAACACAUGCAAGUCGAACGGAAAGGCCCUGCUUUUGUGGGGUGCUCGAGUGGCGAACGGGUGAGUAACACGUGAGUAACCUGCCCUUGACUUUGGGAUAACUUCAGGAAACUGGGGCUAAUACCGGAUAGGAGCUCCUGCUGCAUGGUGGGGGUUGGAAAGUUUCGGCGGUUGGGGAUGGACUCGCGGCUUAUCAGCUUGUUGGUGGGGUAGUGGCUUACCAAGGCUUUGACGGGUAGCCGGCCUGAGAGGGUGACCGGCCACAUUGGGACUGAGAUACGGCCCAGACUCCUACGGGAGGCAGCAGUGGGGAAUAUUGCACAAUGGGCGGAAGCCUGAUGCAGCAACGCCGCGUGAGGGAUGACGGCCUUCGGGUUGUAAACGGCUUGCGCCUGUGACGAAGCGUGAGUGACGGUAAUGGGUAAAGAAGCACCGGCUAACUACGUG